AAGGCUUUAGCUUAAUUAAAGUACCUGUUUUGCAUACAGGAGAUGUGGGUUAAAGCCCCGCAAGUCUUA
This 69-nucleotide transfer RNA is filed under the name Diplectrum formosum (sand perch). Its description in RNAcentral is "tRNA-Ala". It matches the Rfam family "tRNA". Rfam says of the family: Transfer RNA (tRNA) molecules are approximately 80 nucleotides in length. The record is from RNAcentral. Lineage: Eukaryota; Metazoa; Chordata; Actinopteri; Perciformes; Serranidae. RNAcentral also lists the same sequence under 2 other names.